CAUGACACCCAAUAACAUAAAAGGAAAAAUCUCCAACGAACUGAAGUAGAAAUAAAACACAAAAAUAAAGUUAGGGUGUGCAGGGAUCAAACCCAAGUCUGGGUAGUUAGGAGCCUUUACCAUCUCAACCACUGACCUUAAUCUAUCAAAAAAUGGAAAUGAAUGAUAUAAGAAAUAAACAAAACGCAUAAAUUGGAAAAAAAUAAAAGGAAACAAACUCAGACCAAACAAUGUCUCUCAUGAACAACAACAAACUUUUCAACGUCAUCAACCCCAAUCUUCAACGAAAUGCAAUAACACUUAAACGUCUUCCUCCACUCUCAUGUUCAUAACAUGUUAAAACAUAUUAAAUAAAUAAAUUUAAAAAAUAAAACAGAAAAGAAGAAAAACAAAUAUUGUCAUUUCUCCUUCAACUUACUCUCUCUCAAGUUUUCUUCUUCCUCAGAUCCGAGGGAUGUUGCGGCGACGUCAGUAGUGUGUUUUUCAGAUGUUAAGGAAAGACGAAGGUGGAUAUGUGGGUGGAGGAUGUUGUCUUUCUGGUGGUGAUGAG
This 550-nucleotide long non-coding RNA is filed under the name Lathyrus oleraceus (garden pea). RNAcentral's name for it is "Pisum sativum (pea) long non-coding RNA (PSAT_LNC042399)". The record is from RNAcentral. Lineage: Eukaryota; Viridiplantae; Streptophyta; Magnoliopsida; Fabales; Fabaceae.